GGAGGGAGCAAGCGUUGUUCGGAUUUACUGGGCGUAAAGGGCGUCUAGGCGGUUUGGAAAGUCGGAUGUGAAAUCCCUCGGGCUUAACCGGGGGGAACUGCAUUCGAAACUUCCUGACUAGAGUACGGCAAAGGUGAGCGGAAUUCUCAGUGUAGCGGUGGAAUGCGUAGAUAUUGAGAAGAACACCAGUGGCGAAGGCGGCUCACUCGGCUGCUACUGACGCUGAAGCGCGAAAGCCAGGGGAGCGAACGGGAUUAGAUACCCCGGUAGUCCUGGCUGUAAACGAUGUGCACUGGGUGUAGGAGGUAUCGACCCCUCCUGUGCCGGAGUUAACGCAUUAAGUGCACCGCCUGGGGAGUACGGCCGCAAAGGCUG
This 375-nucleotide ribosomal RNA is filed under the name uncultured organism. Its description in RNAcentral is "partial 16S ribosomal RNA". It matches the Rfam family "Bacterial small subunit ribosomal RNA", at positions 527 to 896 of the family's 1533-position model. The record is from RNAcentral.